GGAGCAUUGGCGCAAUGGUAGCGCGUCAGAUUCCAGAUCCUGAAGGUUAGCGGUUCAACUCCGCUAUGCUUCA
Molecule: transfer RNA, 73 nt
Filed under: Verruconis gallopava
Lineage: Eukaryota; Fungi; Ascomycota; Dothideomycetes; Venturiales; Sympoventuriaceae
Description: tRNA-Trp (CCA) (tRNA-Trp-CCA-1-1)
Rfam family: tRNA
About the family: Transfer RNA (tRNA) molecules are approximately 80 nucleotides in length. Their secondary structure includes four short double-helical elements and three loops (D, anti-codon, and T loops).
Source: RNAcentral